Long non-coding RNA from Scaptodrosophila lebanonensis, 577 nucleotides. RefSeq lists it as uncharacterized. The record is from RefSeq and is a predicted model, not a curated record. The transcript has 3 exons. NCBI's taxonomy places the organism in Eukaryota, Metazoa, Arthropoda, Insecta, Diptera, Drosophilidae.
UGAACCACCCUACUAGGAUCAAAACCUUAGUAGCCUUUCAGCACGCUGCCUCGACACCCCUACUGUGGAACAAAGUAGUAUAUAUCAAGGGCUUCAUCACGUUACAACCAGGUGACAAUAAUACAUACAGCUCAUUGAACAGCCCACACGAAGAUUCAUAGUCAUCUUCAGAACUACAUUUACCCAAAGCCCCCAAAGGAUCUAAGUGGGCGAAUAUACACCAAUUCUCCAUCAGGCAGCUAUUAUCCAUUUAUUGCUGAGCUCAACAGCCAUUGAACCACCCUACUAGGAUCAAAACCUUAGUAGCCUUUCAGCACGCUGCCUCGACACCCCUACUGUGGAACAAAGUAGUAUAUAUCAAGGGCUUCAUCACGUUACAACCAGGUGACAAUAAUACAUACAGCUCAUUGAACAGCCCACACGAAGAUUCAUAGUCAUCUUCAGAACUACAUUUACCCAAAGCCCCCAAAGGAUCUAAGUGGGCGAAUAUACACCAAUUCUCCAUCAGGCAGCUAUUAUCCAUCAAAAAUAGAUCCCUUCAAAGGCAAAAUAGGGUCCAACGACAUGCUGAAUUCAC